AUGCUGUGUGCUUCUUCUACAGAUAUUGCAGUAUGCAGUAUGUUGCCAAUAUUCCCAUUAGAGAUCUGCUUGGAUUUGGCAAUAGCUACAUUAAAAAAAAAAAAAAAAUGCUGGAAGGGUCUCCAAGAGACAGUCCAUCCCUCAAGACAAAGAUUAACUAUGCAUGUUAUCAUUGCUGACAGAUGGAUCUCUAGAAUAUUCCUAAACACUUCAGUGAUGGAAUGUCUCAAAACAAGAAUGCCCACCUCAUGCUGGGCUGCACCUACACCUGGGCACCAAACUCCAGACCAAGGCUUCUUCUCUGCCAGAUGGAACAGAAAGAGUCCAUUCCCAUGACGUGCCAGAUCAACUCCUGCAUGAUGAUUGCCUUCUUCACAAUGAUGUUACUAAUACCUGGCUUGAGGUUCUUCAUAUACAAUGUUUUUUAUUCCACCAAUUAUAUUUCUUCCUGCAUUCAAUGCAGUCUUCCAUUUUUGCACUGAAUUGGUGGUAAAUGCUUUGGGAGCAUGGUGAUCCAAUCAGGUGUUCACCUCUCCCCAUGACAGAGUCUGUCUGUCAGAGGCAUGGGACAGUGGCUCCCCCAUGGCCAAGCAACCAGAACCAGGGGUGACCCAGCUCUGGCUGUGCCCUCACCCACACAGCUCAUUCCCAGGGGGCUUUUAAUGAGGACCAUCAACAGUAAGUGAUGAGUCAGGGUCAGGAAACACCCAGGGACUCCAGACAGGAGCAAAAGGAGAUGGGGACAGGGACAGGGCUGAAGACUGGCCCUGCUGUGGUGUUGCUGGGACAGGGACUGAGGCCCCAGGGAGACUGCAAUGUUGCCCUGGGACGUGAGCAGAGUUGCAGGGGGAAUGCCACAGGUUGAUCAGGGACAUCAAGGCCUAUUGGUGCCCACAGGGCCCAGUGUCAUUGAGAUCAUAUUUUCCCAACGUGUUCAUAAGACUGUCCUGUGAGAAAGUCAAAGUUUUACCAGAGCUGUAGUGUUUGACAGUUGCUGUGAUUUUGUUGCAUUCCCAAGACCUGCUACUGAAGAUGGGAUGUUUGCUUUUUUGAGUAUGACUAUUGGUAGCCUCUAUUUUCUUAUGGUUGAUCAAUGUCCUUUCAUAAACAUAAGAACUUAACCC
RNAcentral lists this long non-coding RNA (1124 nucleotides) under Anas platyrhynchos platyrhynchos (common mallard). RNAcentral describes it as "lncRNA (ENSAPLG00000029674.1)". The record is from RNAcentral. Lineage: Eukaryota; Metazoa; Chordata; Aves; Anseriformes; Anatidae.